UACGGAGGGUGCAAGCGUUAUCCGGAUUCACUGGGUUUAAAGGGUGCGUAGGUGGGCAGGUAAGUCAGUGGUGAAAUCUCCGGGCUUAACCCGGAAACUGCCAUUGAUACUAUCAGUCUUGAAUACCGUGGAGGUAAGCGGAAUAUGUCAUGUAGCGGUGAAAUGCAUAGAUAUGACCCGGAACACCUAUUGCGAAGGCAGCAGGCUAAACAAAUAUUGACGCUGAGGCUCGAAAGCGUGGGGAUCAAACAGG
Molecule: ribosomal RNA, 253 nt
Filed under: uncultured bacterium
Lineage: Bacteria
Description: partial 16S ribosomal RNA
Rfam family: Bacterial small subunit ribosomal RNA
Source: RNAcentral